Molecule: transfer RNA, 91 nt
Filed under: Coriobacteriaceae bacterium
Lineage: Bacteria; Bacillati; Actinomycetota; Coriobacteriia; Coriobacteriales; Coriobacteriaceae
Also listed under: 1 other name
Description: tRNA-Ser
Rfam family: tRNA
About the family: Transfer RNA (tRNA) molecules are approximately 80 nucleotides in length.
Source: RNAcentral
GGAGGGAUGUCCGAGUGGCUUAAGGAGCACGAUUGGAAAUCGUGUGUGCGGGAGAACCGUACCUAGGGUUCAAAUCCCUAUCCCUCCGCCA